Molecule: unclassified non-coding RNA, 329 nt
Filed under: uncultured fungus
Lineage: Eukaryota; Fungi
Description: partial contains 5.8S ribosomal RNA and internal transcribed spacer 2
Rfam family: 5.8S ribosomal RNA (bases 1-133)
Source: RNAcentral
UGGUUCUGGCAUCGAUGAAGAACGCAGCGAAAUGCGAUAAGUAAUGUGAAUUGCAGAAUUCAGUGAAUCAUCGAAUCUUUGAACGCACAUUGCGCCCUCUGGUAUUCCGGGGGGCAUGCCUGUUCGAGCGUCAUUACACCCUUCAAGUUCCUGCUUGGUGUUGGGCUCUCGCAUCCUCACCGGUUGCGGGCCUGAAAAUCAGUGGCGGCAGCCUAGGGCUUUCAAGCGUAGUAGUUUAUUUUCGUUUGGAAAUCCCUAGGUCUUGUCCCGCCAGGCAAAGCCUAUAUCUCCUAGAAUUUGACCUCGGAUCAGGUAGGGAUACCCGCUGA